UAUCCGGAAUCAUUGGGCGUAAAGCGUACCGCUAGGUUGUUUAUUAAGUCUUGGGUAAAAGCCGGAAGCUCAACUUCCGCGUUUGCUUAAGAUACUAAUAGACUAGAGGGGCAAAGAGGUGCUUGGAACCAACGGUGUAGUAGUGAAAUGCGUUGAUAUCGUUGGGAACACCGAAAGCGAAGGCAGAGCACUGGGUGCCACCUGACACUGCUAGGACGAAAGCGUGGGGAGCGAAUGGG
Molecule: ribosomal RNA, 239 nt
Filed under: uncultured bacterium
Lineage: Bacteria
Description: partial 16S ribosomal RNA
Rfam family: Bacterial small subunit ribosomal RNA
Source: RNAcentral